ACGUACACUCCUGCGGGAGGCAGCAGUGGGGAAUAUUGCACAAUGGGCGCAAGCCUGAUGCAGCCAUGCCGCGUGUAUGAAGAAGGCCUUCGGGUUGUAAAGUACUUUCAGCGGGGAGGAAGGCGAUAAGGUUAAUAACCUUGUUGAUUGACGUUACCCGCAGAAGAAGCACCGGCUAACUCCGUGCCAGCAGCCGCGGUAAUACGGAGGGUGCAAGCGUUAAUCGGAAUUACUGGGCGUAAAGCGGACGCAGGCGGUCUGUCAAGUCGGAUGUGAAAUCCCCGGGCUCAACCUGGGAACUGCAUUCGAAACUGGCAGGCUAGAGUCUUGUAGAGGGGGGUAGAAUUCCAGGUGUAGCGGUGAAAUGCGUAGAGAUCUGGAGGAAUACCGGUGGCGAAGGCGGCCCCCUGGACAAAGACUGACGCUCAGGUGCGAAAGCGUGGGGAGCAAACAGGAUUAGAAACCCCGGUAGUCCCAUG
Molecule: ribosomal RNA, 479 nt
Filed under: uncultured organism
Description: partial 16S ribosomal RNA
Rfam family: Bacterial small subunit ribosomal RNA
Source: RNAcentral